UCACGAAAGUGGAUUGCACUAGAAGUCUGCACGCUGACCCGCAAGGGAGGCAGCGACCCAAGGUAUGAUUCAUGAUUGGGGUG
This 83-nucleotide ribosomal RNA is filed under the name uncultured bacterium. RNAcentral describes it as "partial 16S ribosomal RNA". The record is from RNAcentral.